This 374-nucleotide ribosomal RNA is filed under the name uncultured organism. Its description in RNAcentral is "bacterial SSU rRNA". It matches the Rfam family "Bacterial small subunit ribosomal RNA", at positions 526 to 896 of the family's 1533-position model. The record is from RNAcentral.
CGUAGGGUACAAGCAUUAAUCGGAAUGAUUGGGCGUAAAGGGCGCGUAGGCGGCCCUGUAAGUCAGAUGUGAAGUUCCAGAGCUCAACUCUGGAGCUGCAUUUGAAACUGCGGGGCUAAAGAGGUAAGACGGAGAAAGCGGAACUCCACGUGUAGCGGUGAAAUGCGUAGAUAUGUGGAAGAACACCUGUGGCGAAAGCGGCUUUCUAGUUUUAACCUGACGCUGAGGCGCGAGAGCAAGGGGAGCAAACAGGAUUAGAUACCCUGGUAGUCCUUGCCGUAAACGAUGUGUACUUGAUGUAGUUGGGCUCAACCCUGACUGUAUCGUAGCUAACGCGAUAAGUACACCGCCUGAGGAGUACGCUCGCAAGGGUG